AGCACUUAAUGUUUUAUCAAAAGUCAUAAACUUAGGGUUUAGAGUUAAAAGGUGGGGUUUAGGAUUUAAGGUUUAGGGUUUAGGGUUUAGGGUUUAGAAUUUAGGGUUUAGGGUUUAAAUUUUAGAGUUUAGGGUUUAGAGUUUAAGGUUUAUGGUUUAGAGUUUAGGGUUUAGGGUUUAAAAUUUAGGGUUUAGGGUUUAGAGUUUACGGUUUAGGGUUUAGAGUUGAGAAAUGAGGUUUUGGGUUUAAGAUUUCAAAUUUUGAAAAAUAAAAAAAUUAAAAUUUUCAAAGGAUAAAUUUAGAAAGGUGCUAUUUUGGUCAUUUUAGUUUUUGAAUGCUAUUUUUGUGAUAUAAACUUAGAAAUAUGCUAUUUUGG
This 377-nucleotide long non-coding RNA is filed under the name Brassica napus (rape). RNAcentral's name for it is "long non-coding RNA (BNAP_LNC010905)". Lineage: Eukaryota; Viridiplantae; Streptophyta; Magnoliopsida; Brassicales; Brassicaceae. The record is from RNAcentral.